CNCAGAACGCCGAUUGCGAAGGCAGCUUACUAAGCCAAUAUUGACGCUGAGGCACGAAAGCGUGGGGAGCGAACAGGAUUAGAUACCCUGGUAGUCCACGCCGUAAACGAUGUUCACUCGCUGUCUGCGAUACACAGUAGGCGGCUGAGCGAAAGCAUUAAGUGGACCACCUGGGGAGUACGAUCGCAAGGUUGAAACUCAAAGGAAUUGACGGGGGCCCGCACAAGCGGAGGAACAUGUGGUUUAAUUCGAUGAUACGCGAGGAACCUUACCUGGGCUUAAAUGUAGAUUGCAUAGAUUAGAAAUAGUCUUUUACUUCGGUACUAUUUACAAGGUGCUGCAUGGUUGUCGUCAGCUCGUGCCGUGAGGUGUCGGGUUAAGUCCCAUAACGAGCGCAACCCCUAUCGUUAGUUGCUAGCAGGUAAUGCUGAGGACUCUAGCGAGACUGCCACCGUAAGGUGAGAGGAAGGUGGGGAUGACGUCAAAUCAGCACGGCCCUUAUGUCCAGGGCUACACACGUGUUACAAUGGUCGGUACAAAGGGCAGCUACCAGGUGACUGGAUGCCAAUCCCUAAAGCCGAUCCCAGUUCGGAUUGGAGUCUGCAACCCGACUCCAUGAAGUUGGAUUCGCUAGUAAUCGCGCAUCAGCCAUGGCGCGGUGAAUACGUUCCCGGGCCUUGUACACACCGCCCGUCAAACCAUGGGAGCUGGGGGUGCCUGAAGUCUGUGACCGAGAGGAGCGGCCUAGGGUAAAACUAGUGACUGGGGUUAAGUCGUAACAAGGUAACCGUA
Molecule: ribosomal RNA, 792 nt
Filed under: uncultured Bacteroidota bacterium
Lineage: Bacteria; Pseudomonadati; Bacteroidota
Description: bacterial SSU rRNA
Rfam family: Bacterial small subunit ribosomal RNA
Source: RNAcentral